UCGUAAAACACAGGAAUGAUGG
RNAcentral lists this microRNA (22 nucleotides) under Picea abies (Norway spruce). Its description in RNAcentral is "pab-miR11519". The record is from miRBase by way of RNAcentral. Lineage: Eukaryota; Viridiplantae; Streptophyta; Pinopsida; Pinales; Pinaceae.